GUGUGUGUGUGUGUGUGUAAAAUUUAGACAAUUUAGGCUAUAGCGCCUCGCUUUAAAAAAGUCCUCGCCUCGCCUCUCGCCUAAGGUUAUAGGGUACCCUGUCGCCUAACAGCCUCUCGCUCUAAUAACAUUGCUCACAUGUUGAAAAUAGGUAUGCAAAUGGAAACAACUCAUAAGCAUCCUAUAUGCCAAUACGAGUAACAUGAUAGAAAAAGGUUAAAAAAUUCAACUACAUGUGUUGCAAAUUGGAAACUAACAAUAAAAACAACCCAAACAUAAAUAAAAUCACAUAUUAUAAAACAGCCCUCCUUGAGGUAAUUUUAUCUGAUCUAAAACAAUCUUUGGCAAAGUAACUUACCUGAUUUGGUUGAGGGCAAUCAAC
Molecule: unclassified non-coding RNA, 382 nt
Filed under: Hevea brasiliensis (rubber tree)
Lineage: Eukaryota; Viridiplantae; Streptophyta; Magnoliopsida; Malpighiales; Euphorbiaceae
Source: RNAcentral